Molecule: non-coding RNA, 93 nt
Filed under: Spiroplasma helicoides
Lineage: Bacteria; Bacillati; Mycoplasmatota; Mollicutes; Entomoplasmatales; Spiroplasmataceae
Description: TPP sequence
Rfam family: TPP riboswitch aptamer (THI element)
About the family: Vitamin B(1) in its active form thiamin pyrophosphate (TPP) is an essential coenzyme that is synthesised by coupling of pyrimidine and thiazole moieties in bacteria. The previously detected thiamin-regulatory element, thi box was extended, resulting in a new, highly conserved RNA secondary structure, the THI element, which is widely distributed in eubacteria and also occurs in some archaea.
Source: Rfam by way of RNAcentral
UGAAAAAGGCAGAGGUAGCGUUUUAUGCUUGAGAAAUACUCUUUGAACCUGAUCUAGUUAAUACUAGCGUAGGAAGUCCUUAAAAAGAUCAUU